This 71-nucleotide transfer RNA is filed under the name Precis andremiaja. RNAcentral describes it as "tRNA-Lys". The record is from RNAcentral. Lineage: Eukaryota; Metazoa; Arthropoda; Insecta; Lepidoptera; Nymphalidae. RNAcentral also lists the same sequence under 2 other names.
CAUUAGAUGACUGAAAGCAAGUAUUGGUCUCUUAAACCAUCUUAUGAUAAAUUAGCAAAUAUCUCUAAUGA